This 253-nucleotide ribosomal RNA is filed under the name uncultured prokaryote. RNAcentral's name for it is "partial 16S ribosomal RNA". It matches the Rfam family "Bacterial small subunit ribosomal RNA", at positions 524 to 776 of the family's 1533-position model. The record is from RNAcentral.
UACGGGGGGGGCAAGCGUUGUUCGGAAUUACUGGGCGUAAAGGGCUCGUAGGCGGCCAACUAAGUCGGAUGUGAAAUCCCCAGGCUCAACCUGGGAACUGCAUCCGAUACAGGACGGCUUGAAUUCGGGAGAGGGAUGCAGAAUUCCAGGUGUAGCGGUGAAAUGCGUAGAUAUCUGGAGGAACACCGGUGGCGAAGGCGGCAUCCUGGACCGACACUGACACUGAGGAGCGAAAGCCAGGGGAGCAAACGGG